AGCGGCGAACGGGUGAGUAACACGUUGGAACCUGCCCCGAACUCAGGGAUAACCCACCGAAAGGUGGGCUAAUACCGGAUGGUCCCGCAAGGGUAAAGAUUUUUCGGUUCGGGAGGGGCCUGCGGCCUAUCAGCUAGUUGGUAAGGUAACGGCUUACCAAGGCUACGACGGGUAACUGGUGUGAGAGCAUGACCAGUCACAAUGGGACUGCGACACGGUCCAUACUCCUACGGGAGGCAGCAGUGAGGAAUAUUCCGCAAUGGGCGAAAGCCUGACGGAGCGACACCGCGUGGAGGAUGAAGGCGUUUUCGUUGUAAACUCCUUUUCUGGGGGAAUAAAUGAUGAAGGUACCCCAGGAAUAAGCACCGGCUAACUACGUGCCAGCAGCCGCGGUAAUACGUACGGUGCAAGCGUUAUCCGGAAUCAUUGGGCGUAAAGCGUUCGUAGGUGGUUUGGAAAGUUUGCGGUUACAUCCGGUCGCUCAACGAUCGAAUUGUCGCGAAAACUCCCAAACUUGAGAGUGGCAGAGGCAGCUAAAUCCGCAUGUAGGGUAAAUCCGUGAUGCGGAGGAAUACAAAGCGAAGGCAAGUUGCUGGGCCAUCUCUGACGCUGAGAAGAAAGCGUGGGGAGCAAAAGGAUUAAUACCCUGGUAGUCCACGCUGUACAAUGGACACUCGGUGUAGGGAGGACUCACCCUCUCUGUGCUAAGUAACACGUUAAGUGUCCCGCCUGGGGAGUACGGUCGCAAGAUUAAAACUCAAAGGAAUAGACGGGACCCACACAAGCGGUGGAGCAUGUGGUUCAAUUCGACAAUAAACGGGAAACCUUACCAAGACUUGACAUCCCGGGAAUCUUCUGGAAACAGGAGAGUGCCGUAAGGAACUCGGUGACAGGUGCUGCAUGGUCGUCGUCAGCUCGUGCCUUGAGGUGUUCGGUUAAGUCCGUAAACGAGCGCAACCCAUGUCCUAUGUUGCAAUUCUCAUAGGAGACUGCCGGCUCUAAGUCGGAGGAAGGUAUGGAUGACGUCAGAUCAGCAUGGCCUUUAUGUCUUGGGCUACACACGUGCUACAAUGGCCGGUACAAUGAGCAGCUAACCCGCAAGGGGGAGCCAAUCUCAUCAAAGCCGGUCCAAGUUCGGAUUGGGGGCUGCAACUCGACCCCAUGAAGCUGGAAUCGCUAGUAACCGCAAAUCAGCUAUGUUGCGGUGAAUAUGUUCCUGGGUCUUGUACUCACCGCCCGUCACAUCAUGAAAGGUGAAGGUAUCCGAAGUCGCCUUAGCCC
RNAcentral lists this ribosomal RNA (1281 nucleotides) under uncultured Candidatus Altimarinota bacterium. RNAcentral's name for it is "bacterial SSU rRNA". It matches the Rfam family "Bacterial small subunit ribosomal RNA", at positions 94 to 1438 of the family's 1533-position model. The record is from RNAcentral. Lineage: Bacteria; Candidatus Altimarinota.